CAAGUCGAACGAGGAAAGCACUUAUCGGGUGCCGGUACUAGUGGCGCACCGUUGAGUAACGCGUGGAUAAUCUGCCCUCUGGCGGGGAAUAACCAGUCGAAAGAUUGGCUAAUACCGCAUAAGACCACAGCAUCUGCGGAUGCAGGGGUUAAAGAUUUAUCACCAGAGGAUGAGUCCGCGUCCGAUUAGCUUGAUGGUGGGGUAAUGGCCUACCAUAGCGACGAUCGGUAGCUGGUCUGAGAGGAUGAUCAGCCACACUGGAACUGAGACACGGUCCAGACUCCUACGGGAGGCAGCAGUAGGGAAUAUUGCGCAAUGGGGGAAACCCUGACGCAGCGACGCCGCGUGAGUGAUGAAGGCCCUCGGGUUGUAAAGCUCUGUUCUAUGGGAACAAAAAAAUGAGUGUACCAUAGAAGAAAGGACCGGCUAACUCCGUGCCAGCAGCCGCGGUAAUACGGGGGGUCCUAGCGUUGUUCGGAAUCAUUGGGCGUAAAGCGGGUGUAGGCGGACUAGUCAGUCAGAAGUGAAAGCCCCGGGCUCAACCCGGGAAGUGCUUUUGAUACUGCUAGUCUUGAGUGUGGGAGAGGGUAGUAGAAUUCCUGGUGUAGUGGUGAAAUACGUAGAUAUCAGGAGGAACACCGGUGGCGAAGGCGGCUGCCUGGCCCAACACUGACGCUCAGACCCGAAAGCGUGGGUAGCAAACAGGAUUAGAUACCCUGGUAGUCCACGCCGUACACAAUGGACACUUGUUGUUGGAGGUAUUGACCCCUUCAG
RNAcentral lists this ribosomal RNA (774 nucleotides) under uncultured bacterium. RNAcentral describes it as "bacterial SSU rRNA". It matches the Rfam family "Bacterial small subunit ribosomal RNA", at positions 58 to 843 of the family's 1533-position model. The record is from RNAcentral.